This 7505-nucleotide long non-coding RNA is filed under the name Lactuca sativa (garden lettuce). RNAcentral describes it as "long non-coding RNA (LSAT_LNC002463)". The record is from RNAcentral. Lineage: Eukaryota; Viridiplantae; Streptophyta; Magnoliopsida; Asterales; Asteraceae.
AAUAUUGUUAGUUUCUGUUAAAUAUAAUAUGAAUAGACUAUAUUAACUGUAACAUCCCAAAAUUCAGGUAAGCUAUUUAACCCUUUCAUUUUAUCAAGUUGUCAAGAUUGGUCCAUUGAGAGAGUUUUUGUAGUAAAUGAGUAUGUUGCGCGUACUCAUGCGCUUAAUUUGGAUGCGGACUCGCCUGGGUACCCAGGGUUACGUUGGGCGUAACGGGUCUAGAUGCAAACCCUAAAUGUUUGGCUUGUGCACUAUUUAAAGGAUGCUAAGGCUCAUUUCUCAGCCUCCAUAUCAGAGAGUGAAACCCUAAGAGAGAGCCUUCCAUCGUCCUUAGCUUGAGUGUGUGUUUUGGAGCUAAAAGUGUCUUGGUGUGUUAGUGAAGAAGAAGGAGAAGAGCUUGUGGAGGCUAGGGCUUGAAGUGCAAGUUUGGAUCUGAGAUCUACAGAGAAAGGAGCUUCAUCUAGAGGUAUAAAGUUCAAAACUUUCCUCUUUAUUUCGUUAGAUGAUUGCAUGGACCAUUUCUAGGGUUAAAAGUCCCAAAGGUGGAGACUUUAUGAGUGUAAUGUACUCCAUGGACCUAGAUUUGUCCCAUUUCAGUGAUAUUUGUGUUAUAGAUCCAUAAAGUUUCCAUCUUGGUCGUUGUUAUGAGGUCAUGCUUGAGUUAUGAGCUUUCUAGAGUUGGGAAAUGGAAUGUUAUGGGAGUUAGUGACUUGUCCAGCCAUGCAAAGGCUUAAAAUCACCAACUUUAUGGAUUAAGAGGCUUAGAAAUGGUCAGAUCUAGAAGUUGGACGUGGGUCUUAACUGUUUAAGACCUCAAGAGCUUAGAGUUUGAAACUGGGAUUUACGUGGGGCGUAAUCCCAGUACGCGCGACGUAAGGGGUCGCGCACCCCGUUUCUAUGAGGACGUCGGGUACGCCCAGCGUACAUGUUUGGUACGCGCAGCGUAACCCGGAGAGUUGACUUUUGUUGACUUUUAGGGUUUGGUCAACUUUAGGGUCUUUGAGCCAUGAGAAGGGUAAAAUGGUCUUUUACCCUUCUGAGAGUACUAAGAGAAGGAAUAGUCUAGCCUUGAGAGAUGUAUUGAUUUACAGUGUUUAUUUCAUAUGAUUAGGCGGAGGCUAGACCCGAUUUUACAGUGUUCGAGAUUUACCGAGUUACCCGAUGUGAGUCUUCUCAUUAUACUUUACCUAGAGUGGUAAUUAGAGUUAUGUGACAAAGUAUUUUGUAUGUUUUUGCAUGAUGUGAUUUCUAUGUGAUUUAUGUUAUGUAUGUUACAGAGUUUCCAGAGUUAGGACCGGAAGGUCCACAGAGUUAGGGCCACAGGGCGCACAGAGUUACGGGACUGGAGGGUCCCACUGAGACACAUUGACUAGAGGGUCAAAUAGAGUUAUAGCCUCGAGUGGCGAAUAUGUGUUGUGUGUGGUAUUUUGGGAAACUCACUAAGCAUUUAUGCUUACAGUGUUGUGUUAUGUGUUUCAGGUACCAGUGAGGAUCACGGGAAGGCGCCGGGUUGAUCAGUACACACAUGAGAAGCUUUUACAUUUUAUGAUCUUGGGAUGUGAUGUUAUGAACUGAUUAUGUGAUACAAUGAUAUUUUUAUAACAAUUAUGAAUGAAAGUGUGUUUUUAAAAUGUGAAAAAUUAUUUGAAAAUUUGGGUGUUACAAGUUGGUAUUAAAGCCUUCGUUUGAGGGAUUCGGGUGCACCUUCGGGCGUAUCUGAACUCAAACUAAGGAUUUGAGAGAUUUUCAAAAUAAAAUUCACAAAAUUUUUCUCAAGAGUAAAAAGUUUUUGAAAGAGCAGAGCAGAGCAGUGUGUACGAUCAACCAGCGCCCGAACGAUGAUUUCCCAAAAUACCCUUACAUUAUGAGUUAUGAGAUAUGUUAUGAUAUGAUAUGCAUGCUAGAGUAGGCUAGGUAUUCUUAUUAGGACUAGAGUGGUCUGAUUUGUGAUGCCUUAGCUUAGGGAUUUUGCUGCUAGGAGAUGCUUGUGAGUGAAUAGAUGGCAACGAGGAGCUUAUGAGAGAUCUGCUAGAGAGUAGACUAUGUAUAGAGAGAGAAUAGAGUACUUGGGAUUUGGGAUCCUAGGAGGAGGACAUGGGGUGAAUAUUGAUGCGGUGUGGACGGUAGUAUUGGGCCCGUACUACCGAAGGCACCGGAUCAGUGCGUAGCCCGAGUAAGAAUCCUUAGGGUACCAGGGAUCAAGUAGGAUUGGGAUAUCGAGUGUGUGUACACUCGAGCGAGUCUCUGAUAUCUUGUGUUGUAUUUAAGAGAGACAUCAUGGUGGGGACACACCACAGGCCAGGGACUAGCGAGGGGGUGUGAUCGAUGAGGAGCUCCGCCAGAUGAUUCAUGAUGAGGUGGCUGCUGCCAUCCGCACUGAGAUUCCAGAUAUGUUCGGGUCUAUUAAGACCACACUGAUUGAGACCUUUGAUGAGUGGUAUGCUGCUCUUACUGAUGCUGUUGUUGNGCGCUGAGAUUCCAGAGAUGUUCGAGUCUAUCAAGACCACACUGAUUGAGACUUUUGAUGAGCAGUAUGUUGCUCUUACUGAUGCUGAUGUUGCUGUUGCUGCAGCCACUACGGCCGUUGCUGCUGCCAGGCCGCAGGGGGUGACGCGUUGAUGUACUGGGAGUUCAGCAACACGAAGCCACCAGAGUUUGAUGGGACUCAGGAUCCGAUAGUCGCGAUGAGGUGGAUCUCUAACAUUGAGUGGUGCUUUUACACAUGUUCAUGUCCGGAGCAUCUGAGAGUUCGGUUCACGCUGAACCAACUUCGCUUGGGGCCAAGGACUGGUGGAAGUUUGUGACAGCGCACUAUUCUUCAACAGAGCUUGCUGCGGUGACCUGGGAGAGGUUCACCGCUAUGUUUCGUGAUGAGUACAUUCCCCCGGUGGAAAGGGAGCGUUUGGCCCAGGAGUUCUUGACCCUCAAGCAUGGUACUGAGUCUGUUACUAUGAUCACCAGGAUGUUUCAUGAGAGGGCGAUGUUCUGCCCUGAGCAUGUGUCUUCCGAGCAGGCACGUAUGAGUCGGUAUUUGAGUAUUUUGAGGAGAGACAUCCACGAAUUUGUGGCGAACUCGACGUACCGGACAUUUGCCGAGUUUCAGGCAAAUGCCCAGAAAAGGGAGAUUGAGCUAGAGACUCGGGCCAGGGAGGAGGCGGAGUCUCAGGGGAGGGAUCGGCGACCGGCACAGUCCCAGCCGGCUGCCAAGCGGGCUAAGCCCGCCGAUUCGAGAUCAGGGAACCAAAAGGGUCGCACUUGUGGCAAGUGCGGCAAGAGUUAUGAGGGGGUGUGCAGAGCAGGGUCAUGCUACAAGUGUGGCAAGGAGGGGCACAUGGCCAAGGAUUGACCCAAGGGGUUUGCAGUUUGUUUUCACUACAACCAGACCGGACACUGGAAGGCCGAGUGUCCACAGUUAUGAGGGUCAGCUCAGGGAUCUGUCCCUGCUGCUGUUCGAGCUACAGAGAGUCGGCCGGUGAAGGCCGAGGCGCCGAAGGUUCGCGGGAGAGCCUUCCAGUUGACAGCGGAGGAGGUCCGCGCAACACCCAAUGUUGUGGAUGGUAUGUAUUAUUUCCUCUAUUUGUUUUGAGUUUGUGGUGUUAUGCUUAUGUUGUGAUAUGCGUAGGUACAUUUCUGGUGUGUUCUGUACCUGCUUUGGUGUUAUUUGACUCGGGUGCAAGUUGGUCUUUUGUGUCGUUAGCCUUUAGUCAGCACAUCAGUAUUCGUCGUGAGGCGUUGAGUCAACCUUUGCGAGUUUCCAUAGCUGACGAGAGAGCAGUGUAUGCUACUGAUGUGAUUCGAGGAUGUGUACUCGAGAUCUUCGGCGUUGAGUUUCCGAUUGAUUUGGUCCCGGUUGCUAUGGGAGAUGUCUGUGUCAUCGUGGGCAUGGACUGGUUGAGCAGAUUUGGAGUGUUAUCGACUGCGAGUGACCGUUGGUGACCAUACGAGACCCUAGUGGGGGAGUUCUUAUGGUUUAUGGCGAGGGUACCCGUUAUGGUUCGGCGUUUUGUUCAGCCGCGAUAGCGGGGCAGAGUCUACAGCAGGGCUGUAGUGGGUAUGUGGCUUAUGUGGUGGAUACAGGGGUAGAUGCAAAGAGACCGAGUUUGGUCGAUGAGGUCCCGAUAGUGCGUGAGUUCCCGGAUGUUUUCCCCGAGGAGUUGUCGGGUGUGCCUCCCAAGAGGCAGGUUGAGUUCCAUAUCGAUUUGGUUCCGAGGGCAGCGCCUAUCGCCAAGGCGCCCUAUCGCCUUGCACCUCCAAAGAUGCAAGAGUUAUCCUCGCAUGUUCAGGAGCUGCUGGGAAAGGGGUUUAUACGGCCAAGUAGCUCGUCGUGGGGAGCGCCGAUCCUUUUUGUCAAGAAAAAGGAUGGUUCACACCGGAUGUGCAUUGAUUACCGGGAGUUGAACAAGCUGACGGUCAAGAACCGUUACCCCUUACCGAGGAUCGACGAUUUGUUCGAUCAGUUGCAGGGAGCGUCUUGGUUCUCCAAGAUUGAUUUGAGGUCUGGAUAUCAUAAGAUGAGGGUGUGUGAUGAGGAUAUCCAAAAGACAGCGUUCAUGACUCGUUACGGGCAUUACGAGUUCGUGGUGAUGCCUUUCGGGCUCACCAAUGCACUGGCGGCAUUCAUAGAUCUCAUGAAUAGGGUGUGCAGGCUGAUGUUGGAUCGUUCGGUGAUCGUGUUCAUUGAUGAUAUAUUGGUGUAUUCGAGGUCCAGAGAGCAUCAUGAGGAGCAUUUGAGGGAGAUCCUCGAAGUUCUGAGAUCGGAGAGGCUUUACGCCAAAUUCCCCAAGUGCGAUUUCUGGUUACGAGAGGUCCAAUUUCUAGGACACCUCGUCAACCAGAAUGGGAUAUUGGUCGAUCCGGCCAAGAUUGAGGUGGUGAUGAGCUGGGAGGUGCCAAGAUCCCCUUCGGAGAUCAGGAGUUUCCUGGGAUUGGCCGGUUAUUAUCGGAGAUUCAUCCAAGAUUUCUCCAGGAUUGUUGUUCCCCUCACCAGACUGACCCAGAAGGGCGUGGCUUUCAGUUGGGGCCCGGAGCAGCAUGCCUCAUUCGAGACACUUCGCCAGAGAUUGUGCGAAGCCCCAGUGUUUGCCCUUCCGAAGGGAAUGGAGGACUUUAUGGUGUAUUGUGACGCGUCGAUAUCGGGACUGGGUGCAGUGCUGAUGCAGAGAGUGCAUGUGAUAGCAUACGCAUCGAGGCAGCUGAAGCCUCAUGAGACGAGGUAUCCUACUCACGAUCUGGAGUUGGGGGCUGUGGUGUUCGCCCUCAAGAUCUAGCGUCACUAUUUGUAUGGGGUUCGGUGUACCAUAUACACGGACCACAAGAGUUUGAAGUAUCUAUGGAUCAGCCCAACCUGAACAUGCAUCAGAGGAGAUGGUUGGACGUGGUAAAGGAUUAUGAGUGUGAGAUCCUGNAAAGGUCUAUGGUGUUAGCCGAUGCCUUGAGUCGCAGGGCAGAGAGUGCCCCUUUGCGAGAUGUUUGUAUGAGGUUAACAAUGAUGACUUCGGUGUUGGACACCAUUCGGGAGGCCCAGGUGGAGGCCAUGAGACCGGAGAACCACAAGCGAGAGUGGGUGAUUGGUCAAAUAUCUGAGUUCAUUACCGAUAGCCGGGGGCUUAUGACCUUCCAGGGCCGGAUUUGGGUGCCAUUUGAGGGUGGGGCACGUUCCAUUUUGAUGGAGGAGGCGCACAGGUCGAGGUUUUCGAUCCAUCCCGGGGCUACUAAGAUGUAUUUGGAACUGAAAAGAGAUUAUUGGUGGCCCUGUAUGAAGAGGGAUGUGGCGUGGUUUGUAGAGAGGUGCUUGACAUGUCGCAGGGUUAAGGCCGAGCACCAGUGUCCACAUGGCAAGUUGCAGUCGCUUGAGGUUCCCUAGUGGAAGUGGGAGCAGAUUUCCAUGGAUUUUAUCACCAAAAUGUCGAGGACCGCGAGAGGCGUCGAUGCAAUUUGGGUGAUCGUCGAACGGCUGACUAAGAGAGCUUAUUUUCUUGCUAUCAGUGAGAGAUCUUCCGCAGAGAGGCUGGCAGAGGUGUAUGUGAGGGAGGGGGUAUCGCGACAUGGUGUACCGAUCUUGAUUGUGUCCGAUAGAUGUGCGUNCCAGGUUCUGGAAGAAGUUCCAUGACGAGUUGGGUACUAGGCUGCAUUUCAGUACCGCUUACCACCCACAGACGGACGGACAGAGUGAGCGGACGAUUCAGAAGCUCGAGGACAUGCUUCAGGCAUGUGUGUUGGACUUCGGAGGGAUUUGGGACACGUAUAUGCCUUUAGCUGAGUUUUCCUAUAACAACAGCCACCAUUCUUUUGGGCAUUGGUAUGCCUCACUUUGAGUUAUUUUAUGGGAGGAGGUGUCGGACUCCCAUUUGUUGGGGAGAGGUAGGGCAGCGAGUGAUGGGCAACACUGAGAUAGUGCUUCAGACGACAGAGCAGAUACAAUAGGUUAGACAGAGAUUGUUGACGACCCAGAGUCGCCAGAAGUGUUACGCGGAUAGGCGUCGUUCCGAGCUCGAGUUUCAGGUUGGAGAUUUUGUACUCCUGAAAGUGUCUAAUUGGAUAGAGUGAUCCGAUUCAGGAAAAGAGGCAAGUUGGGGCCCCGGUACAUUGGACCGUUUAGGGUGAUUGCGAGGGUAGGCAGGGUAGCAUAUCAAUUGGAGCUACCCGCGGAGUUGAGCAAGAUUCAUGAUACCUUCCACGUGUCUCAGCUGAGGAAGUUUAUAGCCGGCGAGUCGGCAGUGGUGCCAUUGGAGGAUAUCCAGGUGGAUGUGGGUCUGAAUUAUGUUGAGAGACCGAUCGUGAUCUUGGACCGGAAGGUCAAGGUUUUGAGGAACAAGGAAGUGCCUCUAGUUCAGGUCCAGUGGCAGCAUCGGAGGGGGUCCGAGCUGACUUGGGAGCCGGAGUCAAAGAUGCAGGAGCAACAUCCGAAGUUGUUUUCGACAUGAGACUUCGAGGGCGAAGUCUGGUUCUAGUGGGGAAGAAUUGUAACAUCCCGAAAUUCAGGUAAGCUAUUUAACCCUUCCAUUUUAUCAAGUUGUCAAGAUUGGUCCCUUGAGAGAGUUCUUGUAAUAAAUGAGUAUGUUGGGCGUACUGGGGAGUACGCUACGCGUACUCAUGCGCUUAAUUUGGAUGCGGACUCGCCUGGGUACGCUGGGCGUACCCAGGGUUACGUUGGGCGUAACGGGUCUAGAUGCAAACCCUAAAUGUUUGGCUUGUGCACUAUUUAAAGGAUGCUAAGGCUCACUUCUCAGCCUCCAUAUCAGAGAGUGAAACCCUAAGAGAGAGCCUUCCAUCGUCCUUAGCUUGUGAGUGUGUGUUUUGGAGCUAAAAGUGUCUUGGUGUGUUAGUGAAGAAGAAGGAGAAGAGCUUGUGGAGGCUAGGGCUUGAAGUGCAAGUUUGGAUCUGAGAUCUUUAGAGAAAGGAGCUUCAUCUAGAGGUAUAAAGUUCAAAACUUUCCUCUUUAUUUGGUUUGAUGUUGCAUGGACCAUUUCUAGGGUUAAAAGUCCCAAAGGUGGAGACUUUAUGAG